Small nuclear RNA from Stegodyphus dumicola, 104 nucleotides. The record is from RefSeq and is a predicted model, not a curated record. Lineage: Eukaryota; Metazoa; Arthropoda; Arachnida; Araneae; Eresidae.
UGUUGCUUUGGCAGUACAUAAACUAAAUUGGAAUGAUACAGAGAAGAUUAGCAUGGCCCCUGCGCAAGGAUGACACUGACAAUAUGUCUAUGCACUCAAUAUUG